ACUCCUACGGGAGGCAGCAGUGGGGGAUAUUGCACAAUGGGGGGAACCCUGAUGCAGCGACGCCUCGUGAACGAAGAAAUAUUUCGGUAUGUAAAGUUCUAUCAGCAGGGAAGAAAAUGACAAUACCUGACCAAGAAGCCCCGGCUAACUACGUGCCAGCAGCCGCGGUAAUACGUAGGGGGCGAGCGUUAUCCGGAUUUACUGGGUGUAAAGGGAGCGCAGACGGCAGUGCAAGUCUGGAGUGAAAGCCCGGGGCCCAACCCCGGAACUGCUCUGGAAACUGUGCGGCUAGAGUACU
RNAcentral lists this ribosomal RNA (298 nucleotides) under uncultured bacterium. RNAcentral describes it as "partial 16S ribosomal RNA". It matches the Rfam family "Bacterial small subunit ribosomal RNA", at positions 335 to 650 of the family's 1533-position model. The record is from RNAcentral.